GCGAGCGAAACUGGAUGAGGCUAAAUCUUAAGCGUGUGAGACCCGGCAGGGGUUGCGCUUGGGGGGUUGUGGGAUCUCUCUUCCACGGUCUGCCGGCCGUGGGACGAGUCAGAAACCGUUGAUGUAGACGAAGGACAUGCGAAAGGUCCGGCGUAGAGGGUAAGACCCCCGUAGUCGAAACGUCAGCGGCUCGUUUGAGAGACACCCAAGUAGCACGGGGCCCGAGAAAUCCCGUGUGAAUCUGGCGGGACCACC
Molecule: ribosomal RNA, 255 nt
Filed under: Streptomyces gibsoniae
Lineage: Bacteria; Bacillati; Actinomycetota; Actinomycetes; Kitasatosporales; Streptomycetaceae
Description: Streptomyces sp. DSM 41699 partial 23S ribosomal RNA
Rfam family: Bacterial large subunit ribosomal RNA
Source: RNAcentral